Molecule: RNA transcript, 1275 nt
Organism: Musa acuminata AAA Group (dessert banana)
Lineage: Eukaryota; Viridiplantae; Streptophyta; Magnoliopsida; Zingiberales; Musaceae
Gene name: phosphomannomutase-like
Exons: 12
Source: RefSeq, a predicted model, not a curated record
AAUUUAAAAUUCAAAAGUCCAGGAAGUCCAGGACGAGGCGAAAUAUGUAAUUAGCUCUGGCUUCGGCGUAUCGCCGGCGGUGCCGUGGACCGCUUGUCGCCAACGCGUCCUCUGCUCUCGCCGUGGCCGACCGCAGUACUAGUCGCGCUGCUCCUCUCGCUCUUCUUCUCCCUCCGCGUUCCGCGGCCAGAUCUUGCUUCACAUCUUGGUGCCAAAUCCCACGAGGGUCAGCGGUUCCGCGCUCGUGCCAGAUCGGUCCGAGAUCCCACUAUUCUUUGUAGUGAUCAAAUCGUGAUGUUGGGAGAUCCAUCGUUCCAGAAAUCAAUUGGGAGCAUGGCUGCGAGGAAACCCGGCGUCAUCGCGUUGUUCGACGUCGAUGGAACGCUCACCGCCCCGCGGAAGCUGAUCACGCCGCAAAUGCUGGAGUUCAUGCGGGAACUCAGGGAGGUUGUAACUGUAGGUGUUGUUGGAGGAUCGGACCUUGUUAAGAUAACAGAGCAACUUGGAAAAACAGUUGUACACGACUAUGAUUAUGUAUUCUCAGAAAAUGGCCUUCUUGCUCACAAAAAUGGGGAACUAAUUGGUCGACAGAGUUUGAAGUCAUUUCUUGGUGAAGAUAAACUAAAGGAAUUCAUCAAUUUUACCCUCCAUUACAUUGCCGACUUGGAUAUCCCAAUAAAAAGGGGGACAUUUAUUGAGUUCCGUAGUGGAAUGCUUAAUGUCUCUCCAAUAGGGCGGAAUUGCAGCCAAGAAGAGCGCUAUGAAUUUGAAAAAUAUGAUAAGGUUCACAACAUACGGCCAAAGAUGGUCUCUGUGCUACGUGAAAAGUUUGCACAUAUGGAUCUGACUUUUUCAAUUGGUGGACAAAUAAGUUUUGAUGUUAGUUCUUAUAUAUAUAUAUAUAUGUUUUCCCACGAGGCUGGGACAAGACUUACAGUUUAAAAUACCUUGGUGAAUUUCAAGAAAUCCACUUUUUUGGUGACAAAACCUACAAGGGGGGAAAUGACUAUGAAAUUUAUGAAUCGAAACGAACUGUUGGUCAUACAGUAACAAGUCCAGAUGAUACAGCAGCACAGUGCAGAUCUCUCUUUCUGGGAAAUUAAUCGAUGAGCUUAUAGCAAGAAGUUUCAUAUUGUUCAAUUUAAUAUUGUAUUCAAUGAGCUUAUGGCAACAAAGUUUUAACCAUUUCAACGACUGUAUUUGUAUUUCCAUCUAUGAGGAUAAUUAUUGUGUACCAAAUAAAGCCUUCAAAAUAAAUAAAGUAUGACCUUCAGA